Molecule: long non-coding RNA, 2517 nt
Filed under: Neogobius melanostomus (round goby)
Lineage: Eukaryota; Metazoa; Chordata; Actinopteri; Gobiiformes; Gobiidae
Description: lncRNA (ENSNMLG00000018735.1)
Source: RNAcentral
AGCCGGGCCUCUCCCCUGUGCACGCCGCGCACCCUGAGCCCUAGCCCCGCCAUCAUCAACUUCACCUUGCAGAACCUGGGCCUGAUCAGCAGCCCGGUCCAGACGCCGGUCCAGACUUUACUGCAGACCCCGGGCAGGACCCCCGGGACCCCGCUCAGCUCCAGCCCCCCCAUCUCGCUCCUCUCACACAGGGCGGGGAUGGUCUUCAUCAAACCUGUGUCUCCGUUACAAGUGCAGAGCGGCGGGCAGCAGAUGGCGCUCAUCAGCCUACAACAGCCUCUGACCGCGACCCCGACGCCCUCCUCGUCGCCCGGAUUCUUCCGAACACCCGUAUCCCUGACGCCGCUCGCCUCCGUCACCGGGGCGACGGAGUCCGGCACGGCCCACGCCAACCGUGCCAUGUUCGUGGCUCAGCGGAAACUCGACAUCAGCGCGGAGGACUCGUAAAAAACACUUCCAGAGGACAAUUUCAGAGAACGUUGAGGAUGAAAUGUGGGGGAGUAGCAGGAACUGUAUAUUUACAAAUUGUGGUGUUUUAUCAGCUGAUAAAUAAAACUAAAUGUAAAUAAAUUAUGAUUAAUAUAAAGUUAGGCUGUAACAGAGGUGUCUGAACCUGAUUUACUGAAGGCCUCUUAUUAAAGUGAUAGUCUGUAAGUUUAAAUGUUUUGCAUAGAAUGGAGCGAGCUACCUGAAAUUUGACAUAACCUAUAGAGGUCGACUGAUAUAGGUUUUUCCAAGGCCGAUGCCGAUAUGCUUUGCCGAUAUUUUUGGCAGAUUUUUUCCAAAUGUCUGGUCUAUAAUCCUGUACAAAAACAAAUACUUGGCCCCUCCAGUCGUGGCCCGUUUUAUUUUAUUACGGAUUCAAUCAUAGUUUCUGUCCCCGCUUUGAUUAGCUGCCGUUAGCAUUAGCAUUCUACUGUUAGCAUUAGCAUACUGCUGCUAGCCGCGCCAUUUUGCACGGCGAUCAAAAAUACAAAUGCAGAGGUUAAAAUAACUUGGAGGGAAAAAAGUGUCCAAGGCACUCUGAGAGGUAGGAUAAAAGUCCUUUAUUAAAGGGACUAUAUGGAGUUUAAAAAUGUUAAAAUCAUGUAUUUUCCUCCUCCCCCUACAUGUUCCAGCCAUGUCCUAAUGUGUAGAAUGAGCCCAGACCUGUUCACCACAACUGCCUCUAAAAUCCUGCACUGUCACUCAGAAAGGUGUUAAUUCAGGUACGCGUAAGUCCUGAGGUGGCAGUAGUGAGUAUUUAAAUGACCAACUUGCAUCUAGUACCUUCAAGCAGGCAUGACCCUACCUCUCAGAGUGUUGGACACAUUUUUUUCCCUCUAAGUCCAUGUUUUCAAGGUUUUUGUCCUCGAAGAGCACCUGAACAUUUUCUACAGCUCUGGACCCACUGAUGCACUCAUCUUUAAUCUUGAUUGUUAAAACUAACUUGAUUGAAUUCUCCAGGUUCUGUACUUCAAAAUGACAUGUCAGGUCCAUAUUCACUGAGGUUUAGUGAAACUAACUAACUUAAGUCAAACUUGGAGCUAACCAAUUUUCAUUGCAUUGUCAGUUCCCCUGAGGCCUAGGGAGUUGUGGGAGGACUCGUUUUAAAGCCCUGACUUCGCUCUUUCCAGGUCCGUUCCCGGAGAUAUCGGCUUAUAUCGGGGUUAGAUCAGCCAAUAGCUGAUAUAUCGGUUGACCUCUAAUAACAGGUAACAUUAAAUACAUUUCUCUAAAGUCCCUCCCUUUGCUGAUCUCAGACACUAAUCAGAAUCCCCGGUGCCAUCACUUCGACCAAUGAGACGAGCUUUUCCUAUGAAGCCGUCGUGUUGCUGUACAGAGGGGGAUUCAGGCACAUUUUCCUUUACUUAUUUUGAACACUUAAGUAUUUUCCGCUGCAGAUACUUCAGCACUCGCAGCAACUUUGACUUUUAUUGGAGUAAUAUUUGACAGUAGUAACUGGAGCAAUGAAACCAUGUACUUUGAGUUAACGAUGUGACUGAAAUCAAAAGUCACUUUUAAAAUGCUCCGAUACGCUCCUCUUUAUUUCAGAUCAGUGUUUUAAUCAAAGAAAACAGCGUGGACAAGUAUUAUUUUCAUUUUUAGACCUUUUAUUUUUUAGUUGAUUUAGUAUUUCCUUUCUAAUCUUCCCUCUGUGGUUCAGCUCUUGUAGGUGAUCUGGAGUUGCACAUAUGUACAUGUCCAAAAUGUGAAUAUUUGUGUCGAAUCACAUUCCGAAUAAUUUAUAAAAGACUUGAUGAAACUGGUGUGAAUUUAUGUGAAUAAAUGCUUUUGUAAAAGUGUAGUCUCUUGUUUUGGAUAUAUUUCUUAACCCCUUAACACCCGCCUUAACCGAAACAUUUUCUCCAGUUCGGCCAGUGCCUCAUUUGAAAGCUAAGACCGCAAAACUGAUCUAAAUUGAUCUUUUUCCUCGCUUUGUUGUUGCAUACAGGAGGUGGUCUUUACCCUUCACUGUCCGACAGGAAGUUAGCCAAAAAACAGUCCAGGGGUUACCGAGCGGUUUUUAGUUAUUUA